This 64-nucleotide transfer RNA is filed under the name Elateroidea sp. BMNH 1274768. RNAcentral's name for it is "tRNA-Gly". Lineage: Eukaryota; Metazoa; Arthropoda; Insecta; Coleoptera. The record is from RNAcentral.
AUUUAUAUAGUAUAAUUAAUAUUCUUAGCUUCCAAUUAAGAGAUCUAUUUAAUUAGUAUAAAUA